Long non-coding RNA from Motacilla alba alba, 1818 nucleotides. RefSeq lists it as uncharacterized. The record is from RefSeq and is a predicted model, not a curated record. The transcript is spliced from 5 exons. NCBI's taxonomy places the organism in Eukaryota, Metazoa, Chordata, Aves, Passeriformes, Motacillidae.
GAGUGUGCAGAGUGUGCCUCUGGCUGACCUGCUAAGCAGACCACAGCAGCCCAGAAGAAAAUCUUAAGAUAACACACAGUAAACAACCUUGAGACUGGAUGACUGAAAGCUAUUGAGUCUUUCCUUGAAGGCACGGGUUGGAGCAGAAACUUUUCCACCUUUCAGAGUCACCCUGACCAGGGGGAGACUCCGACAGAGAAGGCAUUUCAUUCUGAUGUUUCAAGCUCAAAGAUUGUCGCUUGUGUGAGUACACUUACCAGGGCAUAGCACCAGAACAGACUCUGGAAAAGACCCCUUUCUCCCUGUGUGGUUCCCAAGGGACGGCCUUGGUAGUCGGGACAUGUGGAGGGAGGGUGUGUGCCCGUGCCCCUUGCAUGGGGCAUUAGGGAGGAGGGCAGGUUUGUUACCAGGAGGUGUGGCAUGACAACACCUGACCUGCAAUCAAGUUGCAAGAAAGCAGCCUCCACCAAUGGACAGUGAAGAGUUAAUUGACAGACUUUAGAAGGAGCUGGACAUUCCUGAUGCAACACUAAAGGGCUAGCUGCGCAAAUGGUGGUACUGCAUAUUGCUUUAUAACAGCAGCUAUCGUAGCAGUUGGACUAGGUGCAAUGCAGAAGGAAUAAGCUUGGGAUGAUGGUAAAGAUUGUGAAGACCCUUGAGAAGAUUAAAUAAGACUAUUUCUAUGUUUCUAUUUUUCUUAAACUGUGCAACUGAAACUUUAUUUUCAUAGUUACUACUGAUUUCUGACAUAAUAUUUGAUCUAGUUUUAAUCAACAGAUAAGCUUUAUUAAAAUUUGCUAUACUGGUAUUUGUUUUAAUUGGCCAAUUAAAAAUCUGGGUGACUGAUGGCAAAUUGAAAAGGAUUGAAAAUUUACAACAAGUACUUAUGGUCAAAAAAGAUAAGCCAAAAGAAAAAGAGAAUUAUAAGAGCUGCUCUUAUCACAGACUAAAACCAUCUAAAUUAAAUAAAAACUUCUGGGGUUGGUGAAAGAGAUAUAAUGAAUAUAUUGACCAAUUGAGAUCCAAAACAGUGUGCCGCUUUGCUCAGUGAAGUAAUUAUCAGUUGAAAUAACUUGACUGAGGAAGCGGUGGAGUUUUUUAUUACCAGUUAGAAAAACACAAACUUGAUGUGCUUCUAAAAAGAUAAAGUCCAACUGAAAUGGAAGGUAUAAGUUAUGGCAAUAACUUUUUUGAUAUGAUAAUAAUGUCUUGGAAGAAGUACAAAUCAAAAUCAUUGUUCUGGCCUUCAGAUCAAUGAAUCAGCAUCUAAGUUUAAAUUGCUAUUUUUCCCCCUCUGUUAGAGCUCAGUAAAGGUGGUUAUAAGUAGAUUCCUCAAAUUUUUCUUUCAGAUAAUAUUCUGAGAUGAUUAUGGGAAAGAAUUAAAUAUUAAGACAUUAAAUUCAGAACAGUUUAUAAUUGAAAAUUUUGUAUGAUACAUUUUUGAAAGAAAAGCUGUGACUUUUUUUCAGGAUGAAAACUAAGGAUUGGAAUAGCAAAAAUAAUAGUUCUUUUGUCUUUUCAGAAUAGUUAGUACCAGUAUAAUGUGAUUUAUCAGUGGGAAUUUGGUAUCAUAAAUGUUAGUUUUAUUGUCUAAAGCUAUGUCUAUCCAAAAAAAGCAAAGGUGAUAUAGGGACAAUAUUUGAUAUUAUUCCUUAUAAAUAUAUGUGUUGUUAUUCAUUGUAAACAUAAGAGUUAUAGUCAUGGGUUAUGAAAAGUUGCUAUAAACACAAUAGUUGCAAAUUAGUAUGGGAAUUUUAUUAAGCAAAACUGUUGUAUUUAUAUGUUAAUUUGAAAAGAAAAUAUGGUAUUGAAAAUGCU